Talpa occidentalis (Iberian mole) is the source of this 333-nucleotide long non-coding RNA. RefSeq lists it as uncharacterized. The transcript is spliced from 3 exons. NCBI's taxonomy places the organism in Eukaryota, Metazoa, Chordata, Mammalia, Eulipotyphla, Talpidae. The record is from RefSeq and is a predicted model, not a curated record.
UCUACCCUUUCAGAGGCUUGGUGGGACACGAUGUCAACCAUCAAUGGUUCUGCUAAUCACCACCUAGAAAUACAAGGAGGGUGCUUUUCCUGAGACUUUCUUUCACUCAUUCAGCUUCUCCUAAAUGCCAGGUUCCCUAUCAGGUACUUAUACUUCAGAAAGAUUACAUAGUCACAGUCUCUGGUCUUAAGGAGCUCAGAGCCCAAGAGAGGAGAACGACAUGACUGCAGCUGGGUGUGGCAACCAAGCCAGUUCCUUAUCGCCUUCACUUUUAUCACUGGAGCAGAAUGAAAGAUCUGAGGCUACAUGAGCACUGAGCCAUUUUGAGAGUAA